UACGUAGGUGGCAAGCGUUGUCCGGAAUUAUUGGGCGUAAAGAGCUCGUAGGCGGUUUGUCGCGUCUGCUGUGAAAAACUCGGGGCUUAACUCCGGGCCUGCAGUGGGUACGGGCAGACUAGAGUGCGGUAGGGGAGACUGGAAUUCCUGGUGUAGCGGUGAAAUGCGCAGAUAUCAGGAGGAACACCGGUGGCGAAGGCGGGUCUCUGGGCCGUAACUGACGCUGAGGAGCGAAAGCGUGGGGGAGCGAACAGG
Molecule: ribosomal RNA, 255 nt
Filed under: uncultured bacterium
Lineage: Bacteria
Description: partial 16S ribosomal RNA
Rfam family: Bacterial small subunit ribosomal RNA
Source: RNAcentral